UCAAAUGAAUUGACGGGGGCCCGCACAAGCGGUGGAGCAUGUGGUUUAAUUCGAUGCAACGCGAAGAACCUUACCUGGUCUUGACAUCCACGGAAGUUUUCAGAGAUGAGAAUGUGCCUUCGGGAACCGUGAGACAGGUGCUGCAUGGCUGUCGUCAGCUCGUGUUGUGAAAUGUUGGGUUAAGUCCCGCAACGAGCGCAACCCUUAUCCUUUGUUGCCAGCGGUCCGGCCGGGAACUCAAAGGAGACUGCCAGU
This 255-nucleotide ribosomal RNA is filed under the name Escherichia coli. RNAcentral's name for it is "partial 16S ribosomal RNA". It matches the Rfam family "Bacterial small subunit ribosomal RNA", at positions 901 to 1156 of the family's 1533-position model. The record is from RNAcentral. Lineage: Bacteria; Pseudomonadati; Pseudomonadota; Gammaproteobacteria; Enterobacterales; Enterobacteriaceae. RNAcentral also lists the same sequence under 2 other names.